AACGAACGCUGGUAGCAUGCCUAACACAUGCAAGUCGAACGAGACCUUCGGGUCUAGUGGCGCACGGGUGCGUAACGCGUGGGAACCUGCCCUUAGGUUCGGAAUAACUCCCCGAAAGGGGUGCUAAUACCGGAUAAUGUCUUCGGACCAAAGAUUUAUCGCCUUUGGAUGGGCCCGCGUUGGAUUAGCUAGUUGGUAGGGUAAAAGCCUACCAAGGCGACGAUCCAUAGCUGGUCUGAGAGGAUGAUCAGCCACACUGGGACUGAGACACGGCCCAGACUCCUACGGGAGGCAGCAGUGGGGAAUAUUGGACAAUGGGCGAAAGCCUGAUCCAGCAAUGCCGCGUGAGUGAUGAAGGCCUUAGGGUUGUAAAGCUCUUUUACCCGGGAUGAUAAUGACAGUACCGGGAGAAUAAGCUCCGGCUAACUCCGUG
Molecule: ribosomal RNA, 433 nt
Filed under: uncultured bacterium
Lineage: Bacteria
Description: partial 16S ribosomal RNA
Rfam family: Bacterial small subunit ribosomal RNA
Source: RNAcentral